Long non-coding RNA from Orcinus orca (killer whale), 806 nucleotides. RefSeq lists it as uncharacterized. NCBI's taxonomy places the organism in Eukaryota, Metazoa, Chordata, Mammalia, Artiodactyla, Delphinidae. The record is from RefSeq and is a predicted model, not a curated record. The transcript has 3 exons.
UUAACAAAAACAUGUAUUGUCUACUGCAAUAUAUAAAAAGAGGUUUGAUGGGAAAUAAAGUGUGUGUGUACUUGUACACCACCCUCCUGACCCCGUCUCUUUUUAAUCCCCUCACCUGCUCUCAGGACUUGUUCCUCAGUCUAACAGCAACCGACAAGUGGUGCCCAAACAGGGACCUGAGUACAUGAGCUGUUGAGAGGGACCCCGGAGAUACUUCACAUACACGCAUAACGGAUGCUGAAGAUCCUCUUUGGAUACCUGAGCACCUCGUGAGAUUCUAUGGAUCCGGACCAGAUGGUGAAUUCCCUUUCCCCCAAUAUGGAUCCGGACUUGAUGGUGAAUUCUCUCCCCCGCCAUAUGAAGAGAAUGUGAUUCAACAAAACCCGUCCUCCUGCGAACUGGCUUAUGAGCAAUUGCAGAACUCCGAGUCAGACUCUACCACCUCACAUUAAAAUAUAAGGAAGGGGGACAUGUCGGGAACCAGCUGCAAGCUGACACAGUUCUUACAGCUUAAAGCAUGGCAAAGUCCUGCUUAAUUCUUGACAGGAACCAAAAGAGUUAUUAGAGAAGAUAUGAGUCCUGGCCUGUGAGGUUGCUUGCGGUUUCUCUAACUAUAGUUUGUCUUUGGCAUGCUUCGGUAGUCACAGUCUGUUCUCACGCAUGUUUAUAUCCCAGUUCACAGAAUGUUUUGUAUUAUAAGUUCAACAAUAAGGAAAUACUGUCUGAUGAUUCUGUCUGGUGAUUUUAACAAAAACAUGUAUUGUCUACUGCAAUAUAUAAAAAAAGGUUUGAUGGGAAAUAAAGUG